UCUCACCAACGAAAGCCUUAGAGUGACUC
This 29-nucleotide non-coding RNA is filed under the name Mus musculus (house mouse). Lineage: Eukaryota; Metazoa; Chordata; Mammalia; Rodentia; Muridae. The record is from RNAcentral.